This 490-nucleotide ribosomal RNA is filed under the name Clostridium sp. ARIAKE1246. RNAcentral describes it as "bacterial SSU rRNA". It matches the Rfam family "Bacterial small subunit ribosomal RNA", at positions 17 to 516 of the family's 1533-position model. The record is from RNAcentral. Lineage: Bacteria; Bacillati; Bacillota; Clostridia; Eubacteriales; Clostridiaceae.
UCCUGGCUCAGGAUGAAACGCUGGCGGCGUGCCUAACACAUGCAAAGUCGAACGGAGUUACGAUGAAACCUAGUGAUUCGUAACUUAGUGGCGGACGGGUGAGUAACGCGUGGAUAACCUGCCUUGCACUGGGGGAUAACACUUAGAAAUAGGUGCUAAUACCGCAUAAGCGCACAGAGCCGCAUGGCUCAGUGUGAAAAACUCCGGUGGUGUAAGAUGGAUCCGCGUCUGAUUAGCUGGUUGGCGGGGUAGAAGCCCACCAAGGCGACGAUCAGUAGCCGGCCUGAGAGGGUGAACGGCCACAUUGGGACUGAGACACGGCCCAAACUCCUACGGGAGGCAGCAGUGGGGAAUAUUGCACAAUGGGGGAAACCCUGAUGCAGCAACGCCGCGUGAGUGAAGAAGUCAUUCGUGAUGUAAAGCUCUAUCAGCAGGGAAGAAAAUGACGGUACCUGAGUAAGAAGCCCCGGCUAACUACGUGCCAGCCGCC